This 1065-nucleotide long non-coding RNA is filed under the name Dasypus novemcinctus (nine-banded armadillo). RNAcentral's name for it is "lncRNA (ENSDNOG00000051256.1)". Lineage: Eukaryota; Metazoa; Chordata; Mammalia; Cingulata; Dasypodidae. The record is from RNAcentral.
GAUAUGUGUAUGUAUGUGGUGUGGUGUGUGCAUGUGUGCGGUGUAGGUGCACAUGUAGGAUGCUGUGGCCUAUGCAUGUUUGUAUGUAUGUAGUAUGUAUGUGUUAUGUGCACACAUGAAGGUGCGGUUUAUAUAUGUGUGUGUGAUUUCCAGGAUUUCUUGGUUAUUUACCAGUUUCUCUUCCCUCCUUUCUCUUCCUUUUUCUCCGUCCUUCCUCCCCUCCUUCCCUUCCUUCCCUGCCUUCCCUCCCUAUUCCUCUUCCUUCUAGGUGAUGCAAUGGACUGUCUUUGUAAAAUGUUUUCUUUCCAGCCUCAGAUGAUCAGAAAUGCUCUGCAUCUUCAGGACACCCAGCGACUAGCUCUUUCUCAAGAAGAGGGAAGUGGCUUAGCAGCUCUCAGCCAGCAAGGGGUUCUAAGCAGAGAUGGAAUUGGAGGCUCAUUGGCCCUGAUGGAUGACCACGGAGAGUCAUGAUAGCUACUGGCAGCAGCAGAGGGAUCCAGGGCCCAGCAAGUAGGGAUGGCCACCUCACCCAAGGAAGAGAGAUGGAUCUCAGUUAAACCAAACAGGAGAUAACUAUGCCUGCUGUAAUUACCACACGGGGAGAGAAGUUCAUGAGCUUGGGGGGCCGUGGGGAGAUAAAGGACACUGGAGAUGCCAGUUACUCUGCCCGACUGGGCAGGGCACUCGGCGCAGGAGGCACGAGCCCACCCCGGAAGGCGCGGGGUUUCCUAAAAGCACCUUUGCACCCUGAAUCUCAGGACACUGACGCGUUGCCUGGGGCUCCUGGCAAGGUGUGUGUGUGGGGGGGCUUGGAGGCGGUCAGCGAGGAGGACGCCGGGAGCCCACGUGGAAGGUCUUCGCUGUGGACCUUCGCUCGGAUGGGAAGUGACACAGAGCACCGGCCUGCAGGAGGGGAGGGGUUCCAGCAGCAGGGAAACAGCCAGAAACAGAAGACUUGACACUGCAUGCCCCGGGCCCCACCCAGAGCCCGGCCCCAAAUGCCAGCAGGACCUCCCCUGAGAUCAAGAAGGACCUCUUGUAAACCCACAACUUCUCUAAUAAAGA